AAAAAAUGGUCAAAAACAUUUUUGUAUAUUACAGACUGAUGAUCUCACUAACAUUUUCAUCUUCCUGUUCUUGUUUUGUUGGUGCUCAUAGCCCUGUGUGCUGAGCGGUCAGUGUGUGCUCCUGUAGGUGCCUCCGUCCACAUGGCAACGCAGCUCCCCAAUUCCACCGACUUUACCACCUUCUACUGGAGAUUCCGUUCUGAGCUUAACUCAUCAGUGAACAUCGUGACAUAUAUGCAAACGUACGUUGACACGGUAGUCUCAGAGGUGUAUGGGGACAGAGUGGAGAUCAGUAAGGAAACCUUCUCUCUGACACUGAAGAAACUGCGCAAGACAGACAGUGGCAUCUACACAGCAGAGGCCAGUGGUCUGAAAGUUACAGACAUCACUAGAUACAACCUCACUGUCCUGGAUGCAGUGUCUCCGCCUGCUAGUGGGUCUGUGUGCCUGUUGAAGACAGUGUUGUGCACUGUAACACUGAUCCUGAUGUUGUCGGCAGUCAUCACUGUCCACAUCAGAGAGAGACUGCUCAAUAAGGAUCUUAGAAAAAUGACCAAUCUUAAAUAAAAUUAUUUAAACUCUCCACUCGCAGACCAGAUGGACAGACUUUGGUUAAAUACUCUUAUUUUAACAGCAAAACAUACAAAAAAUACAGUUAAACUGCAUUACACAUUUACAAUAAUUCAGCUUUAUUAUAUAUGUAUUUUUAUGUGUAUACACACACACCUUUUACAUUUUGAAUAAAAACUAUACAUAUACUAUGGCACGCAAUGUCCCAUGGAUGGUUUGGUGCUGCAGCAAUUUUCAGAAACGCCUCUUCGCAGUGCAUGGUCAUUAGACCAGAAGGAUGUGGUGCUGAAUGUUUCUGCAUUUUCUGCAAGUCGCUCUUGCUCUGAUAUUACAUUUUUGUUACAUCCUUGGGACUUUUUUUUGAGUUGGUCUUCGUGUUGUGAUGUUAGAAUUUGUUUUUCAGGUUACUCACAAGAGGGUGCACCAAGAACCAGUGAACUGUCGAGAUGACAUUGUCACAGAUACAGACGGUUAAAGGGACAAUUAAUGCCCUGUUAAAGAUCUGCAUCGCAAAUGUGUAGGCCCGGGGCGUCUUGUCCAGUAGACCCCUCGUGUGCCAUGGUAGACGCUGCUCUGUAUUGCUGUGUGUUGGUACAAUUACUGCCUGUGGUAGACUCUUUUUGAGAUUGAGGUGUUAAAGUUGACUGUCCUGUUUUUGUGUCUCUGGUUCUGUGAAUAGGGCCUUAUGAGCUAUCACUUGCUGUCCAGCUUGGCUCUUAGAUAGAGCCUUUGAGAUGUACCCGAUCUUUAGCGGCUUUGUGCACAAGGCCUCGAGUAAUUACAUGAAAUGCUUCUCUAUUAGCAGGAUUGAGUUGUUAUAGCCAGUGUCCACUGAGGACCACUAAGAGUUAUAUACAGUUAUUUGACUGUCAAUUAUUGAGUAUUGUUUUGUUUCUUAUUGUUUGGAGUCGUAGGGGUGGGUGCCAUGUUCUUUUUGCUUUGUUGUUGUAUUUAUGUUUUUGUGAUAAGGAGUUGAGGGAAGAGUGAUUGUAUUUAUUUUUUGUUUUGUUUUGUUUUAGGGAAGAAUGAUUGAAUCUUCUCUAGUAGAUUUGUUUUGUUUGUUGGGAUGGUGUAAAUCCCACCCUGAAGAAACACUCCAGUUUAGGUUUAGUUUAUGCUGUGUAUAUAUUCU
Molecule: long non-coding RNA, 1702 nt
Organism: Electrophorus electricus (electric eel)
Lineage: Eukaryota; Metazoa; Chordata; Actinopteri; Gymnotiformes; Gymnotidae
Source: Ensembl